AGUCCCACUUUUAUUGGAAAGAGCACAUUGUGUUGGUGUUCAUGCUUUGUGAAAUGUGGUUGUAGUUUUUGCAAAAUGGGGGCACUCAGUCCACAAUCAAAUGGAGUUCAGAAGAGGUCUACACCAGGGAGAACAGUGAAGGGCAAAACUAGAAUGAAAUCUGUCUAAAGAGUGCUGGACACCCCAAGCUUUUCUGUAACACCAACCACAACCCAAGCAGUGGAGCACACAGUAGGGAAAUCAGAUCAGAUCAUGAGAAUACCACCUGAAGGAGUGGGAGUUUCUGCUUCUUGCCACUUCAUAUAAUUUUAUUUCUGGACAGCUGCCCAUAUCCCUUGUGGAACCACACUGUUCAUCUACAUAUUCUGCAGUGAAGAAAAGUGAAGUUGGACUAGACUGUCAAAUUUGAUUUUGUAAAUCUGAAAUGCACGAUAUAUUUUAAAUAGCAAUUCAUUCUUAGGGACAGUCACAAGCAGAACACUGUCUUGUGGGUGUGAUAAAUGUGUAAUGCACCUUUUAGGGGGCUUGUAAUGUAACAGUGCUGUUCCCUUGUAUACUCUGUAGGCAUGGUUUGGAGUUAAUCCCCCAGCUCACUAAGCAGGGGGCUGAGGGUGAAGACUGCUUCUGUGUCUCCUUAUGUGCAAGUUAGUUGUGUAUUGCUUAAGCUAGUGUCAGCGUUGUUGAUCUUAAGCUAGUGAAUGUUGUUUCACCAGCCAUCUUAGCCCUAUUCAGACAUUAUGUUGUACAGGUGUAUUCAUCUCAUGUGUUCACUUUAAAAGUAAACCUGGGUACAGGUUCUCUAAAAUGCAGGGUACAGAGAGGAAGUGGACUGCUGCACAUGCUUUGAAUGUGUAUGAAUGAAUAUCACACAUAUGAAUAACUGUGUGUAUUGAUCUGUAUGUCUGCACUGCAGACAGAAGCCCUAUUCAGACAUUUUGUUGUAAGUGCAUUCAGGUGUCUGUACACAUGUACAUGUUUUUGUCUUAAUGACUGCACAUUCAUUCAUUUAGGAAGUGAACCUGGGUACAGACACAGAGGUAUACUGCUGUACAUGUAUUCAACAUAAUGUGUGAAUACUCUGACUCUAUGUGUGUAUAGAUCUGUACAUGUGUACACUGUACAUAGAUUGCACACAUGUUGAAGACAAUGUGAAUAGGGCUAGAAUGUAUGUGUGUUAAACAUAGUGUGUUGAUAGGGCUCUUGUCUCUGCUGAUGUUGACUUGGAGAGCAGAACCUACAAGGGCAUGCAAAUGCUGAAUGAGUACACAUACCUGGAACCCACAAGAAAGAAGCUAAUGUUAUUGUGGGUGUGUUGGAGGAACAGGACUCUUCUUUGGAUAUAUUAUAGGGCGGUAUUCCAAAUUUGGGUAUAUUAAAGGGCAGUGUUCCAAAAUCUCUUUGCAACAAAGUAAUUCAAAUCAAGGAAACAAUUUAUCCCACUGUAAAGCUUAUCCCUGUAGUAACUUAGCCUUCCUGUGCUAACACAGGUAUGGCUAGCCUUCCUGUGUGGUUAGCCUUCCUGUGCUCCUGCCAACACACUGGAAUUUUCAUUGAUAUAUUUUUGUUGGAGAUGGAGUUUCAGUGCAUCAACCUUUUGCACCAACUAUCCUAAUGACCACUAAGGACAUUAGGAGUAGAGGUAGUUAGUGAGGAUCUCCUUAUCUGUCCCUACUUGCCUCUAUGACCCCUGCCUUGACUCCUCAGGUACUUCCUGUAGUGAGUCAGUCCUCUUCCUUUCCUCCUAGAGAGAAAAUGGAAACACCUCCCCCCCCCAUUCAUUAUAGUAGCUGAUAAAUAGGAUAGGUCUUUCCUAUCUCAAAUGUACUUCACCAAUAAAUCAAUUUAGUUUAGACUCUACAAUGAUCUCCAUGUGUGUUACUCUAAAUAGCUGCAACAACUAAACUCUGCACUCUGUAACUGGAGUGGUAGCUUCCUUGGUGCUUUGCUAAAGAAUCAAACACCCCAACAAUUUCCCCAUGGAAUUGGAGAUACGAAGAACCAUUCCAGUAAGCCACACAUACCUUCACAAUUCCUAGGA
Hemicordylus capensis (graceful crag lizard) is the source of this 2038-nucleotide long non-coding RNA. RefSeq lists it as uncharacterized. The record is from RefSeq and is a predicted model, not a curated record. Lineage: Eukaryota; Metazoa; Chordata; Lepidosauria; Squamata; Cordylidae. The transcript is spliced from 3 exons.